Molecule: ribosomal RNA, 349 nt
Filed under: Tupinambis teguixin (common tegu)
Lineage: Eukaryota; Metazoa; Chordata; Lepidosauria; Squamata; Teiidae
Description: partial 12S ribosomal RNA
Rfam family: Bacterial small subunit ribosomal RNA
Source: RNAcentral
CCAGAGAAUUACGGGUGAGAACCUAAAACUCAAAAGACUUGACGGUGUUCCAACCCUGCCUAGAGGAGCCUGUUCCAUAAUCGAUAACCCCCGAUCAACCCGACCACCUAUUGAAAUACUCAGCCUAUAUACCGCCGUCACCACGCCUACCCUUUGAAAGACACACAGUAGGCACAAUAGUUUCUAAACUAGCAAGUCAGGUCAAGGUGUAGCUUAUUAGGUGGAGGAAAUGGGCUACAUUUUCUACGAUAGACCAUCUACGGACUUCGCUCUGAAACCAAAACGAACAAAGGAGGAUUUAGCAGUAAGCCAAACAAGAGAGUUUGACUAAAUACUUAGCCCUGGAACA